This 73-nucleotide transfer RNA is filed under the name Bacteroidota bacterium. RNAcentral describes it as "Bacteroidetes bacterium (activated sludge metagenome) tRNA-Thr". It matches the Rfam family "tRNA". From Rfam's summary of the family: Transfer RNA (tRNA) molecules are approximately 80 nucleotides in length. Their secondary structure includes four short double-helical elements and three loops (D, anti-codon, and T loops). Lineage: Bacteria; Pseudomonadati; Bacteroidota. The record is from RNAcentral. RNAcentral also lists the same sequence under 1 other name.
GCCUCCUUAGCUCAGUUGGCAGAGCAGUUCAUUCGUAAUGAACGGGUCGUCGGUUCGAGUCCGAUGGGAGGCU